GAAAUCUCUUCUUCACUUUUGCUUCUGCUCUUUCAUCACUCUCCCUCUCUCUCACCUUUUUUGCUUCAGUUCUCUGUAGGAGUUUGUUUCUUAUAUCCAUGUCAGCUUCUCUAUCUGUUCUUACUCGUUUCUGGGGCUUAGGAGGACUCUCCUUUUUGCUCUUCUUUAAUCUCUCUCUCCAAAUACCCUUGAGAAAAUGGAGGAAUAUGCCAAAGCAUUUGCUAUAUUUGCUAACUGCGGUACUACUAGCCUAGGUUUUUCUAUUUGUGAAAAACAAUUCCAGUUAAGCUAAUCCUUGUUCUUUUGCAGUCUAUUCCAGCUUUGACACACAUAUAUAUAACUUUACCUUAUAUAAAAAGUUCUUGUUCUUGUGCAAGAAGUUCACCUUGCUAACUUUACUAUAAUAAAUUAUAAUUCCUCAAAAGUCAAGUAACUAAACUUAGAGCUAUAAUGUACGUCUUUUUUUUUUUUUUUUUGGCACUUCCAGAGAACCGCAGGGAGCAGAUUGUUAUGUUCCCUUUACUUGAUUUACAAGAUGGGAUUUCUUCUUCUAUAUGUUUUUUUUUUUUUGGGUAUUUUUGUCUACGUGGUAAUACGAAGUGUCUUUAAUUCCCAGUUCUUUCACUUUCUCUCCCUUUGGUUUUUUUUAAUGAUGUGAUUAUUUGUAGUAAUCAUUGAAGUGGAUUAUGCACCCAAGAUGUUUGAUGAUAUAUGCCUGACUCCUCUUAUUUGCAGUAAUGAAGUCCACAGGUUUUGUUUUAGGUUUGCCGUGAACUCGCACGAAGGGCAGUGAUCUAGCUAUAAGAGAAAGUCAUAAUGAUCUUGAGGCUUGGUUGAAUUAGACUUGGAGGAAACAUUUGAGUAUUUUGCUGAAGUAGUUUGUAUGGAACGAGAAUGCUAAUUGAAAGGAGUUGAAACUAAUAAACUUUUCGUGUUAUGUGAUAGCUGGUAAACUGAUCAGCUACCUCCUGUGUGUUUACUUUACAAAAAGAAUAGGCGGGCAGUGUAUUUUUGAGGUUUAUGAUGCUGGAGAUAGGUGGGGUAUAGGAUGGUUGGAUCAGGGAACAUAUUUUCUUUUGUUAAAAUGAUUUCUAAUGGGAAAAAAAUAUUUUAAGAUGUGUUUGGAUGAGUUCUGGCCAACCUCUACUAUCCUUUCUCAUUUUCCUAUCUAUCUUUUCUCUGGUAUUCUACUUUGUUCGUUUGUAUUGUUUAACUAUCCUCCGGGUUUUCUGUGUAUGUAAUGCAGCUAUAGAUACGCUCUCCAAAAUUCACAUGCAUCUUGAUCGGCGAGAUAAAAUUGAAAAUGGAGGAAGAGAAUAUUUCUCAGUCCUGCUAAAUUUUCAAAUAUUCUAUCUUGGUGAGGAUAUAAACCAUUGGCUCUAUUAUUUUUGCAUUUAUGCUUUAUUUUUCUUUUUAAUUCACUGUAUAAGCAGUUUUUUCGUUGACAAGUAUAUGAUUUUUUCCCUUUUUAAUUUUUAUGGGUAGAUUCUAAUUCAAGUAUAUGCGUGUUGUUUUUACUGUUUGAACGCUUCUACACUAGCCACAUCAGUUGCCAUCUUGGCAAAAAGAUCUAAUUAAAAGGGAAGAACUUUGUGCAGUUAAGGACGAUAUGCCUAACCCCAUAGGUGACUUUAACAUAAUAUCUUUCCUUUUGCAAGGCCAUAACUUUUGAUACAUAAAAAUAGGUUAUUUGAAAGAUGUUAUGCAGCGUAUUCUUUAUUGGGAAUCUAUUUGCAAAUUCAUUUGUAUCUAAAAGAAUGAAGUUUUUCUUGAAGAAAAUGAUUAUGGAUAAUUCUUUCAUAGUGUCCUACAUUUUGAUUGUGCUACAAUUAGUAAUGUUGCUUUGUCAAGAAUUCAUCAUUAGCUGAAAGUUCGUCCUAUCUCUUUGUCUGGUGAAUCUAUUUAAACAGUAGGGUAUACAUGAUUAAUUUCAUUGAUUUUUCUGCUUUUAUUUGAUAUCUAGCUCAGUAAAAAUGUGCAUCCGGACGAUCCUUCUAAUAUGUUUGUGAACUUAAUGGUGAUCAAAUGUAGUACUUUGAUAUUUGAACUCCUUGCUAGCCUCUCUAUUUUCAUUGUAUAAAUGAAAUUUGGUUUUUCUGUUUUCGUAUUUUCCUAGAGAUAUGUGACUUCUAAAACUAGGUUGCUUUAUUAUUCGUUAAUUCAUGAGAUGGAUUCAUUGACUCCCCUGCGUUGUUUAUGCGGCACCAAGGUCAUAGUAUGUUGACUAUGUUCUAUUGUCGCUCAGAGGCAUGUUCAUAUGAAGAGUAUAUAAAAGGAGUGGAAAGUUCCUACUGGUUCGGGGCAUAUUGGUAUAUUAUUCAUGAGGAAAUGACUGCAAGAAGACAACAACAUAACACGAGAGAACUUUGUCAUAAAGUAAAAGGAGUGGGAGGUUCCUACUGGUUCGGGGCACAUUGGCAUAUUAUUCAUGAGGAAAUGGCUGCAAGAAGACAACAACGUAACAUGAGAGAACUUUGAUGUUUAGUUUUUCUAUACUCCAGCAAUUUGAAAGGUGACUUUCCGUUGUAAAUUGAGCCAUGAAAUGAUGAAGUGCCCUCUGCUGAUAGUAUACACUGUCAGUAAUCAAGACGGGAACAACAUUACUGACAACCCAAUCUUGGACUAUAUCAUGAAGUCUCUUGGUCCAGAUUGUUUCUCUGCCUCUUCAAUGAGAAGAUCAGUUGGCGUUACUAUAGGAAUGCGCCACACCUUAAUUAAGUUUAACUGAAAAUGUGAGACCUGGUCUACCAUCUGAAGUAAGUGCUUC
This is a long non-coding RNA of Lycium ferocissimum, 2767 nucleotides long. RefSeq lists it as uncharacterized. The transcript has 7 exons. The record is from RefSeq and is a predicted model, not a curated record. Lineage: Eukaryota; Viridiplantae; Streptophyta; Magnoliopsida; Solanales; Solanaceae.